RNAcentral lists this transfer RNA (71 nucleotides) under Verrucomicrobiota bacterium. RNAcentral describes it as "Verrucomicrobia bacterium tRNA-Gly". It matches the Rfam family "tRNA". From Rfam's summary of the family: Transfer RNA (tRNA) molecules are approximately 80 nucleotides in length. Their secondary structure includes four short double-helical elements and three loops (D, anti-codon, and T loops). Lineage: Bacteria; Pseudomonadati; Verrucomicrobiota. RNAcentral also lists the same sequence under 2 other names. The record is from RNAcentral.
GCGGGUGUAGUUCAAUGGCAGAACGGCAGCUUCCCAAGCUGCACACGAGGGUUCGAUUCCCUUCACCCGCU